UUCCGGUUGAUCCUGCCGGAGGUCACUGCUAUUGGGAUUCGACUAAGCCAUGCGAGUCGAGAGGGUUCGGCCCUCGGCUGACGGCUCAGUAACACGUGGAUAAUCUGCCCUAAGGUGGAGGAUAACCUCGGGAAACUGAGAAUAAUACUCCAUAGGUCUAGGAUGCUGGAAUGCACUUAGGCUUAAAACUCCGGUGCCUUAGGAUGAGUCUGCGGACUAUCAGGUUGUAGUCAGGGUAAUGACCUGACUAGCCUACGACGGAUAUGGGUUGUGAGAGCAAUAACCCAGAGAUGAUAUCUGAGACACGAUAUCAGGCCCUACGGGGCGCAGCAGGCGCGAAAACUUCACAAUGUGCGAAAGCACGAUGAGGGAAUCCCAAGUGCUUGCACGUAAGUGUAAGCUGUUUCUAUGUUUAAAACGCAUGGAGAGUAAGGGCUGGGUAAGACGGGUGCCAGCCGCCGCGGUAAUACCUGCAGCUCGAGUGGUGGCCGCUAUUAUUGGGCCUAAAACGUCCGUAGCCGGUUUAAUAAAUGCCUGGGUAAAUCGUGUAGCUUAACUAUACGAAUUCUGGGUAGACUGUUAAACUUGAGAUCGGGAGAAGUUAGAGGUACUCCUGGGGUAGAGGUGAAAUUCUGUAAUCCUAGGGGGACCACCAGUGGCGAAGGCGUCUAGCUAGAACGGGUCUGACGGUGAGGGACGAAGCCCUGGGUCGCAAACCGGAUUAGAUACCCGGGUAGUCCAGGGUGUAAACGCUGCUUGCUUGAUGUUAGUCGGGCUCCGAGCCCGAUUAGUGUCGGAGAGAAGUUGUUAAGCAAGCUGCCUGGGAAGUACGGUCGCAAGGCUGAAACUUAAAGGAAUUGGCGGGGGAGCACAGCAACGGUGGAGCGUGCGGUUUAAUUGGAGUCAACGCCGGG
Molecule: ribosomal RNA, 914 nt
Filed under: uncultured archaeon
Lineage: Archaea
Description: bacterial SSU rRNA
Rfam family: Archaeal small subunit ribosomal RNA
Source: RNAcentral